UACAGUCAUAUCACAUUGAAACACCAGUUCCUGUAUGAUCACUGAAGUUAAGCAACAUCGAUCCUGGUCAGUACCUAGAUGGGUGACUGUUUGGGAAUGCCAGGUGUUAUA
This is a non-coding RNA of Acanthosepion pharaonis, 111 nucleotides long. NCBI's taxonomy places the organism in Eukaryota, Metazoa, Mollusca, Cephalopoda, Sepiida, Sepiidae. The record is from the annotation of a GenBank genome assembly.